This 253-nucleotide ribosomal RNA is filed under the name uncultured bacterium. RNAcentral's name for it is "partial 16S ribosomal RNA". It matches the Rfam family "Bacterial small subunit ribosomal RNA", at positions 524 to 776 of the family's 1533-position model. The record is from RNAcentral.
UACGGAGGGAGCUAGCGUUGUUCGGAAUUACUGGGCGUAAAGGGCGCGUAGGCGGUUCGUACAGUCAGACGUGAAAUUCCUGGGCUCAACCUGGGGGCUGCGUUUGAUACGUGCGGACUUGAGUGCGGAAGAGGGUCGUGGAAUUCCCAGUGUAGAGGUGAAAUUCGUAGAUAUUGGGAAGAACACCGGUGGCGAAGGCGGCGACCUGGUCCGAUACUGACGCUGAGGCGCGAAAGCGUGGGGAGCAAACAGG